RNAcentral lists this small RNA (321 nucleotides) under Sordaria macrospora. RNAcentral describes it as "A. fumigatus sRNA Afu_309". It matches the Rfam family "A. fumigatus sRNA Afu_309". The record is from Rfam by way of RNAcentral. Lineage: Eukaryota; Fungi; Ascomycota; Sordariomycetes; Sordariales; Sordariaceae.
CUUUUUUUUCUCCUCACGGACCUGUGCCCAGUGCUCCUCUGUCGCCCAGCUCGUGCUUGCACUUGUAGGGUAGCUAGGGUUGAUGUGCUGAGGCAGUUCGGCAACCAAGGAGCCAUCCAGGACUUUUUAACAGGAGUUCUUCCAUGAUGUCAAUUUCCAGCCGACAAGUCACCAGAAGAACCGAACUCUGGCGUGAACCUCGUUCGCCGCAAGGCUUGAGCUUGGGGAGGGCCAGAUGAUGUAGGGGAAGUCAUAUUCCAAUCCGUUCGCCGAGGACGUCGUCCUAUGAGGCUGGGGGAAACCAUGACAAUUGCCACAUUU